This 1031-nucleotide ribosomal RNA is filed under the name Cytospora phialidica. Its description in RNAcentral is "SSU rRNA". It matches the Rfam family "Eukaryotic small subunit ribosomal RNA", at positions 67 to 1109 of the family's 1831-position model. The record is from RNAcentral. Lineage: Eukaryota; Fungi; Ascomycota; Sordariomycetes; Diaporthales; Cytosporaceae.
UAGCACCUAAACGGCGAAACUGCGAAUGGCUCAUUAAAUCAGUUAUCGUAUAUUUGAUAGUACCUACUACAUGGAUAACCGUGGUAAUUCUAGAGCUAAUACAUGCUUAAAAUCCCGACUUCGGAAGGGAUGUAUUUAUUAGAUUAAAAACCAAUGCCCUUCGGGGCUCACUGGUGAUUCAUAAUAACUUCUCGAAUCGCAUGGCCUUGUGCCGGCGAUGGUUCAUUCAAAUUUCUGCCCUAUCAACUUUCGACGGCUGGGUCUUGGCCAGCCGUGGUUACAACGGGUAACGGAGGGUUAGGGCUUGACCCCGGAGAAGGAGCCUGAGAAACGGCUACUACAUCCAAGGAAGGCAGCAGGCGCGCAAAUUACCCAAUCCCGACACGGGGAGGUAGUGACAAUAAAUACUGAUACAGGGCUCUUUUGGGUCUUGUAAUUGGAAUGAGUACAAUUUAAAUCCCUUAACGAGGAACAAUUGGAGGGCAAGUCUGGUGCCAGCAGCCGCGGUAAUUCCAGCUCCAAUAGCGUAUAUUAAAGUUGUUGCAGUUAAAAAGCUCGUAGUUGAACCUUGGGCCUGGCUGGCCGGUCUGCCUCACCGCAUGCACUGGUCCGGCCGGGCCUUUCCCUCUGGGGAUCCGCAUGCCCUUCACUGGGUGUGUCGGGGAACCAGGACUUUUACUGUGAAAAAAUUAGAGUGUUCAAAGCAGGCCUAUGCUCGAAUACAUUAGCAUGGAAUAAUAGAAUAGGACGUUGCGGUUCUAUUUUGUUGGUUUCUAGGACCGCCGUAAUGAUUAAUAGGGACAGUCGGGGGCGUCAGUAUUCAAUCGUCAGAGGUGAAAUUCUUGGAUCGAUUGAAGACUAACUACUGCGAAAGCAUUCGCCAAGGAUGUUUUCAUUAAUCAGGAACGAAAGUUAGGGGAUCGAAAACGAUCAGAUACCGUUGUAGUCUUAACCAUAAACUAUGCCGACUAGGGAUCGGGCGAUGUUAUUUCUUGACUCGCUCGGCACCUUACACGAAAGUAAAGUUUUUG